Molecule: ribosomal RNA, 236 nt
Filed under: uncultured bacterium
Lineage: Bacteria
Description: partial 16S ribosomal RNA
Rfam family: Bacterial small subunit ribosomal RNA
Source: RNAcentral
UGAGCAAUCUGCCCUUCUCUUCGGAAUAAGCGUUGGAAACGACGUCUAAUGCCGAAUACGACCUCCUUUCGCAUGAUCGGAGGUGGAAAGCUUCGGCGGAGAAGGAUGAGCUCGCGGCCUAUCAGCUAGUUGGUGUGGGUAAUGGCCCACCAAGGCGACGACGGGUAGCCGGCCUGAGAGGGUGACCGGCCACACUGGGACUGAGACACGGCCCAGACCUCCGUACGGGAGNAGCG